AAGGAUCAUUAAUGAAUUCACUAUGGAGUUGUUGCUGGCCUCUAGGGGCAUGUGCACGCUUCACUAGUCUUUCAACCACCUGUGAACUUUUGAUAGAUCUGUGAAGUCGUCUUUCAAGUCGUCAGACUUGGUUUGCUGGGAUUUAAACGUCUCGGUGUGACAACGCAGUCUAUUUACUUAACACACCCCAAAUGUAUGUCUACGAAUGUCAUUUAAUGGGCCUUGUGCCUAUAAACCAUAAUACAACUUUCAACAACGGAUCUCUUGGCUCUCGCAUCGAUGAAGAACGCAGCGAAAUGCGAUAAGUAAUGUGAAUUGCAGAAUUCAGUGAAUCAUCGAAUCUUUGAACGCACCUUGCGCCCCUUGGUAUUCCGAGGGGCAUGCCUGUUUGAGUGUCAUUAAAUUCUCAAACUCACUUUGGUUUUUUCCAAUUGUGAUGUUUGGAUUGUUGGGGGCUGCUGGCCUUGGCAGGUCGGCUCCUCUUAAAUGCAUUAGCAGGACUUCUCAUUGCCUCUGCGCAUGAUGUGAUAAUUAUCACUCAUCAAUAGCACGCAUGAAUAGAGUCCAGCUCUCUAAUCGUCCGCAAGGACAAUUUGACAAUUUGACCUCAAAUCAGGUAGGACUACCCGCUGAACUUAA
Molecule: ribosomal RNA, 639 nt
Filed under: Pleurotus ostreatus (oyster mushroom)
Lineage: Eukaryota; Fungi; Basidiomycota; Agaricomycetes; Agaricales; Pleurotaceae
Description: eukaryotic LSU rRNA
Rfam family: 5.8S ribosomal RNA (bases 245-398)
Source: RNAcentral